GAUGAACGCUGGCGGCGUGCCUAAUACAUGCAAGUCGAGCGAACAGAUGAGGAGCUUGCUCCUCUGACGUUAGCGGCGGACGGGUGAGUAACACGUGGAUAACCUACCUAUAAGACUGGGAUAACUUCGGGAAACCGGAGCUAAUACCGGAUAAUAUAUUGAACCGCAUGGUUCAAUAGUGAAAGACGGUUUUGCUGUCACUUAUAGAUUGAUCCGCGCCGCAUUAGCUAUUUGGUAAGGUAACGGCUUACCAAGGCAACGAUGCGUAGCCGACCUGAGAGGGGGAUCGGCCACACUGGAACUGAGACACGGUCCAGACUCCUACGGGAGGCAGCAGUAGGGAAUCUUCCGCAAUGGGCGAAAGCCUGACGGAGCAACGCCGCGUGAGUGAUGAAGGUCUUCGGAUCGUAAAACUCUGUUAUUAGGGAAGAACAAAUGUGUAAGUAACUAUGCACGUCUUGACGGUACCUAAUCAGAAAGCCACGGCUAACUACGUG
Molecule: ribosomal RNA, 497 nt
Filed under: uncultured bacterium
Lineage: Bacteria
Description: partial 16S ribosomal RNA
Rfam family: Bacterial small subunit ribosomal RNA
Source: RNAcentral